Long non-coding RNA from Eptesicus fuscus (big brown bat), 244 nucleotides. RefSeq lists it as uncharacterized. The record is from RefSeq and is a predicted model, not a curated record. Lineage: Eukaryota; Metazoa; Chordata; Mammalia; Chiroptera; Vespertilionidae. The transcript has 3 exons.
AGGUGGUUAAGGGUUUGGGGCCGGGGACCAACUGAGAGUGCUGACGUCCUCAAGGGGAGGGGACAUGUGGACAGCCAGAAGUGGUGAACAUAAGGAAGUGCUCCGGUGGACAAGGGCUUUGGGAUCGAGCACCGCCUGGAAGUGCUGACGUCAUCAAGGCGGAGGGGACACGUGGAAAGCUCCAAGUGCUAAGAUACUGGUCUUGCAGAACCGGUUACAGAGGCCAUUGGACUGUGGACAGUGC